GUGAGCCGGAGAGGUAGCUUCGGCUUGGUAGCAAUACCAAGCUGAGGAAGUUCCGCCCACCAAGGUUAAAGGGGCCGAGAGGUUCCCUUUACCGGCAUCAGAAACGAACUUGCAUGUAGUGUUAACGAUGAUUGAAAAUGAGUCGCUACAUGCAAGAUGAAACGGGCCGGUAAGCCGAUGAGGUGCAAGCGUAAGCGCUUAGACAGAUGCUACCUUAAACAGAAGGCGGGCUACUCCGGCACAC
This is an RNase P RNA of 244 nucleotides. It matches the Rfam family "Archaeal RNase P". Rfam says of the family: Ribonuclease P (RNase P) is a ubiquitous endoribonuclease, found in archaea, bacteria and eukarya as well as chloroplasts and mitochondria.